UUAGUGGCGGCGAUCGACGGUUCCCGCUCUCGGGCGGGAUGAAAAGGGAAUGCGGUGCGGGGUGCCCUCGGGUGUUCCUAUUCCGCGGCUGCCCCCGCAACUGUGAGCGGCGAGCCCGCGCCUGAAGCCACUGGAGACCUCUCCGGGAAGGCGGCGACGAGGCGGCGACCCGCGAGCCAGGAGACCUGCCGGAGAUUCGGUCGUGUC
RNAcentral lists this non-coding RNA (207 nucleotides) under Ancylobacter novellus. Lineage: Bacteria; Pseudomonadati; Pseudomonadota; Alphaproteobacteria; Hyphomicrobiales; Xanthobacteraceae. The record is from RNAcentral. RNAcentral also lists the same sequence under 1 other name.